This 406-nucleotide ribosomal RNA is filed under the name uncultured bacterium. Its description in RNAcentral is "partial 16S ribosomal RNA". It matches the Rfam family "Bacterial small subunit ribosomal RNA", at positions 30 to 526 of the family's 1533-position model. The record is from RNAcentral.
AUUGAACGCUGGCGGCAGGCCUAACACAUGCAAGUCGAGCGAGAGGCGGACGGGUGAGUAAUGUCUGGGAAACUGCCCGAUGGAGGGGGAUAACUACUGGAAACGGUAGCUAAUACCUCAUACCAUCUGAUGUGCCCAGAUGGGAUUAGCUAGUAGGUGGGGUAAUGGCUCACCUCGGCGACGAUCCCUAGCUGGUAUGAGAGGAUGACCAUCCACACUGGAACUGAGACACGGUCCAGACUCCUACGGGAGGCAGCAGGGGGGAAUAUUGCACAAUGGGCGCAAGCCUGAUGCAGCCAUGCCGCGUGUAUGAAGAAGGCCUUCGGGUUGUAAAGCACUUUCAGCGAGGAGGCGUUACUCGCAGAAGAAGCAUCGGCUAACUCCGUGCCAGCAGCCGCGGUAAUAC